UAGAGUGGGAGUGUUGUCAGGAGCAGGUCUCUGUACACUUGUUUGCCUUCCUGCUCAUUGGGUGGGACCGUUUUCAAGCACUGAAAAUCCACUCUGGAAUAUCCCUUGUGAUUUAUGAUUGGAGAGAACCUCUUAUCUCCAGAUGUACACCAGGCCUGGGUCACCCCUAACAGAAGAUACCCUAAAACUGAGGAAAACAGGAAAUUUUGGGAGUAAGUGAAAUGAGGAUGCCUUGGUGCCCACCUCUGCUGGCCUCCCACUGUGGGAACACCAGUCUUGUAUCCUGGGAAUUCUGUGGGCAGCUUCUGAAGCCAGUCUCCAUGGGAAGAAAACCUCCAGAGUGUGGAAGAUCUUGUGUUUGAAUCCUGAGCUCGUGAUCCCUGAGAUCCCUGAGAUGAGCUGGAGAUGGCUCCAUGCUAAGGGUGGGCCUGCAUUUGAUGGGAGCCCUGCAAGCUGCUGCAGGCUACCCCUGAUUGGAAUUCCCUUGGAUUGGCCUAAUUGCAGGCUCUGCCAUCAUCUGUUUGCAAUCACAAAGAGGAAGCUUCUGAAGCUUGGGAAUGAGAGAAAAUGAAGUGUCCUGACACAACUUCAAAACAUCCAGAAUGCUCUUGGAGGUUUUCCCACCGCUGUUUCUGUCAGAUCUCCUCUGAAAACGGUCUCACUGAAGGGAGGUUCAGAUCAGCAACACGGACCAGAAGAAUGUCCAGAGAUCAGAACAGCAGUAGCAGUUGGCUUUGAGGAUGAAUUCCAGCCACAAUCCCGUCCCAUGGCUGAUCCAGGAUGCUUGGGAAGCAGGCACAUGGUGGCCUCCAUGGAUGGCAACCAGCAGCAAACCCACAGCUGGACCUGCAGGGAUCCAGCACAACAACAAAAUCCGAAGAUCAGUUUUGACAGAGUAAAAUACUACAAAUUACACUGUCAGAUGACCUCAUCACCCAGGGCUGGCACGCUGGAUUGCAACACUGCUGGAAGGAAAAGCAGGAGCACUACAGGAAUCUCUGCUCCAUGGAAAAGUGUUAUUUUUGGAUCCUCCGGGAAGGCGUGCCCAGAAAACCAGCGGCUCCCUGGUAUCAUCACCAAGUUUCUGCUCCUGGCAGCGCUCCAUCCUCUCCUUCUCAUCCCACGUUACUCCAGGACAGCCUGAUGGGUCAUGGGAAGCUGUUUCCAGCCAGCAGGCAGGAGCCCACUGGAGGAGGACAGUGCUGGAUGGACCAUCAAUCCCUUGGCCAGAGCAGUUUGGAACCCAAUGGCAGAGGCAGCAGGUCCCUUACAGGUUUGACAUGAUUUUUGACAUUUUUAACCAGGCAAACCACAGGUUUCCUCAAACUCACCCAAAAAU
Molecule: long non-coding RNA, 1339 nt
Organism: Lepidothrix coronata (blue-crowned manakin)
Lineage: Eukaryota; Metazoa; Chordata; Aves; Passeriformes; Pipridae
Exons: 9
Source: RefSeq, a predicted model, not a curated record